This 362-nucleotide unclassified non-coding RNA is filed under the name uncultured bacterium. RNAcentral describes it as "contains 16S-23S intergenic spacer region". The record is from RNAcentral.
UCCCCGUUACCGGGGCAGUCUAGUCAGAGAAAUCCAACUGACUAUAGGGGUUGCGCUCGUUGAUGGACUUAACCAAACAUCUCACGACACGAGCUGACGACGGCCAUGCAUCACCUGUCACUGCGUUCACAAGGCACAGUCUCCUUUCGGAGACCUUCGCAGGAUGUCAAACCCUGGUAAGGUUCUUCGCUUAUCAUCGAAUUAAACAACACGCUCCACCGCUUGUGCGGGUCCCCGUCAAUUCCUUUAUGUUUUAGUCUUGCGACCGUACUCCACAGGCGGGAUGCUUAACGCGUUAGCUUCGCUACUACUCGGGUCGAUACGAAUAACAGCUAGCAUCCAUAGUUUACGGCGUGGACUAC